RNAcentral lists this ribosomal RNA (528 nucleotides) under uncultured bacterium. RNAcentral's name for it is "bacterial SSU rRNA". It matches the Rfam family "Bacterial small subunit ribosomal RNA", at positions 777 to 1304 of the family's 1533-position model. The record is from RNAcentral.
AAUAGAUACCCGGUAGUCCACGCCGUAAACGAUGAGUGCUAAGUGUUAGAGGGUUUCCGCCCUUUAGUGCUGCAGCUAACGCAUUAAGCACUCCGCCUGGGGAGUACGGCCGCAAGGCUGAAACUCAAAGGAAUUGACGGGGGCCCGCACAAGCGGUGGAGCAUGUGGUUUAAUUCGAAGCAACGCGAAGAACCUUACCAGGUCUUGACAUCCUCUGCUAACCCUAGAGAUAGGGCGUUCCCCUUCGGGGGACAGAGUGACAGGUGGUGCAUGGUUGUCGUCAGCUCGUGUCGUGAGAUGUUGGGUUAAGUCCCGCAACGAGCGCAACCCUUGACCUUAGUUGCCAGCAUUCAGUUGGGCACUCUAAGGUGACUGCCGGUGACAAACCGGAGGAAGGUGGGGAUGACGUCAAAUCAUCAUGCCCCUUAUGACCUGGGCUACACACGUGCUACAAUGGAUGGUACAAAGGGCUGCGAGACCGCGAGGUUAAGCCAAUCCCAUAAAACCAUUCUCAGUUCGGAUUGCAGG